Molecule: ribosomal RNA, 303 nt
Filed under: uncultured bacterium
Lineage: Bacteria
Description: partial 16S ribosomal RNA
Rfam family: Bacterial small subunit ribosomal RNA
Source: RNAcentral
AGCAGUCGCCGCGGUAAUACGAAGGGUGCGAGCAUUACUCGGAAUUACUGGGCGUAAAGCGUGCGUAGGUGGUGGUUUAAGUCCGUUGUGAAAGCCCUGGGCUCAACCUGGGAAUUGCAGUGGAUACUGGGUCACUAGAGUGUGGUAGAGGAUAGUGGAAUUUCCGGUGUAGCAGUGAAAUGCGUAGAGAUCGGAAGGAACAUCUGUGGCGAAGGCGACUAUCUGGGCCAACACUGACACUGAGGCACGAAAGCGUGGGGAGCAAACAGGAUUAGAUACCCCAGUAGUCCCUGUCUCUUAUAU